UACGUAGGUGGCAAGCGUUAUCCGGAUUUACUGGGUGUAAAGGGCGUGUAGGCGGGAUUGCAAGUCAGAUGUGAAAUUCCAGGGCUCAACCCUGGAACUGCAUUUGAAACUGUAGUUCUUGAGUGAUGGAGAGGCAGGCGGAAUUCCGUGUGUAGCGGUGAAAUGCGUAGAUAUACGGAGGAACACCAGUGGCGAAGGCGGAUUGCUGGACAGUAACUGACGCUGAGGCGCGAAAGCGUGGGGAGCAAACAGG
RNAcentral lists this ribosomal RNA (253 nucleotides) under uncultured bacterium. RNAcentral describes it as "partial 16S ribosomal RNA". It matches the Rfam family "Bacterial small subunit ribosomal RNA", at positions 524 to 776 of the family's 1533-position model. The record is from RNAcentral.